GUGACUGACGUGCUCGUACGUGAAUAUGGAGAGUUUGCCCGUGAAGUCGGUGAGCGAAGUGGUCUAGAUGUGAGGACCAAUUUUUUUUGAGCGCAAGGACGUGUGACGUAGAGUGAACUAUGACCCUGUUUUGGGGGUGUUGUGCUUGAAAGGCGAGUUCGAUGGCCUUGUCCACUGAGAGAGGAAGGUGGUUUAGGAAACGUGAUCGAAUUGAGGCCGUAGUGUGGGCCUUGUGACCUG
Non-coding RNA from Pelobates cultripes (western spadefoot toad), 240 nucleotides. NCBI's taxonomy places the organism in Eukaryota, Metazoa, Chordata, Amphibia, Anura, Pelobatidae. The record is from the annotation of a GenBank genome assembly.